GAAGGUAUAGCUCAGUGGUAGAGAACAUGCUUAGCACACACGAGGUCCUGGGUUCAGUCCCCAGUCCCUCCG
Molecule: transfer RNA, 72 nt
Filed under: Camelus bactrianus (Bactrian camel)
Lineage: Eukaryota; Metazoa; Chordata; Mammalia; Artiodactyla; Camelidae
Also listed under: 2 other names
Rfam family: tRNA
About the family: Transfer RNA (tRNA) molecules are approximately 80 nucleotides in length. Their secondary structure includes four short double-helical elements and three loops (D, anti-codon, and T loops).
Source: Rfam by way of RNAcentral